UGGGGAAUUUUGGACAAUGGGCGAAAGCCUGAUCCAGCAAUGCCGCGUGUGUGAAGAAGGCCUUCGGGUUGUAAAGCACUUUUGUCCGGAAAGAAAUCCUUGGCUCUAAUACAGUCGGGGGAUGACGGUACCGGAAGAAUAAGCACCGGCUAACUACGUGCCAGCAGCCGCGGUAAUACGUAGGGUGCAAGCGUUAAUCGGAAUUACUGGGCGUAAAGCGUGCGCAGGCGGUUUGCUAAGACCGAUNUGAAAUCCCCGGGCUCAACCUGGGAACUGCAUUGGUGACUGGCAGGCUAGAGUAUGGCAGAGGGGGGUAGAAUUCCACGUGUAGCAGUGAAAUGCGUAGAGAUGUGGAGGAAUACCGAUGGCGAAGGCAGCCCCUGGGCCAAUACUGACGCUCAUGCACGAAAGCGUGGGGAGCAAAACAGGAUUAGAUACCCCUGGUAGUCCACGCCCUAAACGAUGUCAACUAGUUGUUGGGGAUUCAUUUCCUUAGUAACUAGCUAACGCGUGAAGUUGACCGCCUGGGGAGUA
This 534-nucleotide ribosomal RNA is filed under the name uncultured bacterium. Its description in RNAcentral is "partial 16S ribosomal RNA". It matches the Rfam family "Bacterial small subunit ribosomal RNA", at positions 355 to 882 of the family's 1533-position model. The record is from RNAcentral.